UGCAAGUCGAACGAGAACUUUUCCUGUAGCAAUACAGGGAAAGUUUUAGUGGCGAACGGGUGCGUAACACAUGGGCAAUCUGCCGAAAAGUGGGGGAUAGCUCGCCGAAAGGCGAAUUAAUACCGCAUGUGGUGAGGGACGACAUCUUCCUGAAUCCAAAGCCGGGGCAACCUGGCGCUUUUUGAGGAGCCCGCGGCCUAUCAGCUAGUUGGUGAGGUAACGGCUCACCAAGGCUAUGACGGGUAGCUGGUCUGAGAGGACGACCAGUCACACUGGAACUGAGACACGGUCCAGACACCUACGGGUGGCAGCAGUCGAGAAUUUUUCUCAAUGGGGGAAACCCUGAAGGAGCGACGCCGCGUGGAGGAUGAAGGCUUUCGGGUUGUAAACUCCUGUCAUUUGGGAACAAGGUGCACACGUUAACUGCGUGGGCAUUGAUAGUACCAGAAGAGGAAGGGACGGCUAACUCUGUGCCAGCAGCCGCGGUAAUACAGAGGUCCCAAGCGUUGUUCGGAUUCAUUGGGCGUAAAGGGUGCGUAGGUGGCGCUGUAAGUCGGGUGUGAAAUUUCGGAGCUUAACUCCGAAACUGCAUUCGAUACUGCGGUGCUUGAGGACUGGAGAGGAGACUGGAAUUCAUGGUGUAGCAGUGAAAUGCGUAGAGAUCAUGAGGAAGACAGUGGCGAAGGCGGGUCUCUGGACAGUUCCUGACACUGAGGCACGAAGGCCAGGGGAGCAAACGGGAUUAGGUACCCCGGUAGUCCUGGCAGUAAACGGUGCACGUUUGGUGUGGAGGAUUCGA
RNAcentral lists this ribosomal RNA (799 nucleotides) under uncultured Xiphinematobacteriaceae bacterium. Its description in RNAcentral is "bacterial SSU rRNA". It matches the Rfam family "Bacterial small subunit ribosomal RNA", at positions 56 to 834 of the family's 1533-position model. The record is from RNAcentral. Lineage: Bacteria; Pseudomonadati; Verrucomicrobiota; Spartobacteria.